AUAGCUGCUUGUGAGCCUCGCAUCCUGCUUCCCUAAACUGAAUUGACCUAUAGCGCUCCGCUGCAGAGACGUGGCCCUUGAAACAAUGCGAACCAGUAUAACAUCCUGAACUAAGUGAACAGAUUCCAGUGUAGGGACCCUCAACUCGAACGUUAUAUCUUCCUAGUAAUGAUCGCGUACGGUCUUUUGAUUGGGCAGCGUAUAAGACAAAGCAGGUGAGACAUUAUUCAAUUUUUGUGAGUUUUUAAUGUUAUCAAGCCAAUCUCAUUUGAAUGCUCGUUAUUAGGAAAUGAAUUAUCAUGUUUUAUUCUUCUUCUGUAUUUUCCUCUCCGUCUUGCACAGAUACUCUGAGGUAACUGCUCCUGUUAAUACAUGAGCUGUCUCUGUACCAUUUAUUUUAUUUAUCUUUGUCUAACAUUGUUUUUUCUUUUUCAUGUAGAAAGCAAUUUUUUCAUAUUGAAUGACAUAAUAACACGUACCCAAGUGCUAAGGUACGUAGGAGGUACAAAAUUCCCUUCCAAAUUUUAUUUUGUUCUUUUAUUUGCUUGCAGAAUUAAUCUAGAAAAUGGUCUCAGUUCCUCCCUCAUUCAAUGUUGUUGAGUUCACUAAGGAAAAAACUGUGUCUGUCGUCCCCAGAGAGUGGAUGUAUAAUGAGUCUUUAUGCCAUUGGCCGAAUGUGAAAACAGGGAUAACGCAACUGAUAAAGAAUCAUACAGAACCAUUUACGAAACCCUACUCGUGGAUAACAUGCGAGUGCCGUAUAUUGGCUGAAAAAAUUGGCUCGUAUGCUGAAGCUAAAAGAAAGGAGAAGGAGAGCGAAUAUUACAGCGACAUCCCAAGUGAUGGAACUGAUGAAGAUGGAAGUGAUGAAGGUGGAAGUGAUGAAAGUGGAAGUGAUGAAGAUGUCGAAAAUUCUGCGCCCAUUAACAGUGCAAAGAGGAAGAAAAGACCGAAACGGAAGGCAGAAGAAACCUUGUUUGUAAAUGUUGAAUCUUUGGACGAUGCAGAGCCAUUAAAUGUCAAAAAAAUCUCAAGAACAAAGAGACGUAAGCCAAAUGAUCAAAAAUUGAUUCUUACACAAAGUCAUGUUAAUCAGAAUGCGCAUACAGACAAUACUUCUUUACACUCCUCAGAAAUCACACCCACAUCACAAGUAUCAAAUCCAUUAGUCAAAAACACUUCUGAACAACCAAUAACUGGAGAAACUCCCGAACCGGUAGAAACUCUCAAUUCCAAUUCGAACAAAGAAACUAACCAGCAGACUGAUGACAGUACAACAGACAACAACGAAUCACAAUCAAAGAACCUCACUGAGGAAGAAUUCAAGAAUCUUUGGAAUACGAAGUCUGAAGAAGAAAAGCUACUCUUUGUUGGUGGAAGUCUAUACGAAUUAAGGAAGGACAUGAAGAGCCUUAAAGUUUUCAUUACGAAAAGUGGGAAAAGUGGAUAUGCUCCAGCUUCCCAAAAUACAGCUACUGAAAUAUCAGGGUCUGCUGUUAAAAGAGUAGAGAGAUUACUUCCGUUGAGAAGUGAGGGAGGAUGGAAACUUUUAGAGGAAAAAUUACUCAAUGACGAAGAAUUCCGGAUUGCGUUUAAAGCAGUCGCAUCUACUAAGAAAAGUAGUGACGUAGGGGAAACAGUCAGAAAGGUCACUGCACUCUUAUUUAGUGACACCUAUCUUAAAGACCAUACGAUGACGGGUCAGGGACAUGGACAAGGACAGAAAUUAAAAAUCAAAGGUGCUCCAAAAGGAAAUUUAAUUCUCAGUUUGGUCAGCUCAAUGUACAUUGACCCUAUCAGGAAAACUCCAACCAUUACGGAAGAGGAAGUGUACAAACCGCUAUCAGCGUACGUCCUGCAUGUAGGAGACAGAAUUAAAAAUAAAGCAAAAGCAGCAGCAAGAAAAGAAGCAGGCAGCGAAGCUUCCAAAUUUUUGUCUCUGUUUUGAUGGCUAUUCCUCAGUGUUUUGGAUAUUACAUUUCAAAGUGGAACUGCUACUUUUAUCUUUUCGUUUCAUAUUUAUUUACUCAUGCAUAUUUUCUAUCAUUGCGGGUGCUCAAUUCCAAAGUGUGAAGUUCACCGUGCUAAUUUUUUGUUUAAAUGUUUUUUCUUCAUAGAAUUUGUCCUUCUUUAGAUGUACUUGUUGGCAGAACUUGCCCAUUUCAGUUGUAAAACUGUAUUUUUAGUCUUAGAGUUAUAGGCUCAUUUAGGUUGUAUUUAGGGAAAGAGAACUUUAAGACAUCAGGUAUUGCUAAAGUUCAUCGGACGAUUUUCUUCCUGCUGAAAAGAGGUAGUGAAAAAUCUUCUGAAAAUCUAAUUUUAAGCUUCAGAGAAACUCCUCUGAAAGUUUCAAAAGGAUUGCACAAACUUGAUCUUAGAAAAAAAUAAAUUGCUCCAAAAAUUAAGCAAUACCUAGCUGUUGUGACAUGGUUCGCCUGUACUAAACCAUUUGCUAAUCUCUUUCUCACCAUCAUCACUGUUUUUAUUUUUUUGAUUUCUUCUUUUGUUAGAUGUAUUCUCUGACAGCAUUCACCUAUUUAAGUGAGAUUAACCCUUUGCACCCUGCCGGUACCCAUUGUUUCCACCAGUGUAAGUGAAAAAGUAAACUGAAACUCAUGGAGGCAUUAAAUGCCUUAUGAUUUCUGAUUGCAUGAAGGCACAUACAUACAAUACAGUAUAUAGAUAAAUGUACAUUAUCGCAGCCUGAGAACGAAGGUAUACAAUAGACAUAAAUAUGGGUAAAAGGAGGGGACGAGACUGAAAACACACAAUAAUAAAAUUCACGGGGAGUUUCGACCGGUUACCUGGUCAUUAUCAACCGUUGAAAAAUUACAAAAUAUAAAAAGCUAAAGCUUUAAACAAUUAUACUGGUCUCAUGUCAGGUCAUGGCAGCGACAAGCAUUAGGUCUUCUCGCUGCUCUGACCUGGCCAGGGAUCAGUAUAAUUGUUUCUAUAGCUUCAGUUUUUUAUGUUUUAAUUUUUCAAUGGUUGAUAAUGGUCAAAACGUCCUGUGAAUUUUAUUAUUGUGUGUUUUCAGCCUUGUCCCCGCUUUUUACCCACUUUAUGUCUAUUUUAUACCAUACAUUAUAGAGACACUAGUGGUUGUAAUUGUUUCGUGAUUUUAUAAUCCAAGAAAUCCCCGUGAGUCGGAUGACCUUGAAGAAAAAUCUCGACAAAUGUAUCUCUUGCCAUCAUAGCCUUCUUUUACCUCCAUCGUUUAGAUUUUCACGAUCCCUGCAAUGAAUGACAAAUUAGUCAGUUACUUUAGAAUUAUAUUUUCUCAAAAUUUUUCCCCAGAUGAUCGACCCCCCCCCCCCCCACACAAAAUUGCCGUUUCAGUGGAUACAUUUUAUUGAAAAAUCCAUUUUCUUCCAAAGAGCAUUUCUUUCCUCAGAAAUAUGAAUUUUUCAAGAAUCAGGUUACGAAGGGUUAAACUGAACUUUUAAGGCGUAGAGUAAGCUGCAGGGUUUUUCAUUUUCAAGUUUUUAUUUGUUUGAUUUCUUAGUUAUUGCAUAUAUGCUUUGAUAGAACUUGCCUACUCACGUUCCUAAACUAUAAUUUUAGGUUCAGAGAGAAAAGACUCAUUUUUUAGUUUUUACUAUUAGCUGUUCCAGAUAUUUAUUUCCCAACGAAAGGAAAAUGAACUUAACUUCUGAUAUUUGACUUCGGUUGAUCUGACUUCCUGUCACAGUGUGACUCAGUAUGCUGUGUAAAUUAUAAUGGUGCAUGUUUGUUACUAUACACUAUAAAAUGAGUCAUCAAGUAUUAUAACUUAAGUUACCUAGUUAGUUUAGUAACUUAAAACUCCUCCUUUUGGGUAAUGUAGUUUUCAUGUCAAACUUUAAUUUGUUUAAAUUUUCUAGCAUAAAUUUUUCUUUCUUAUUUUAAGAUAUUUUGACAUUUGCUCUGUUUUUGUCUUCAGCAAAUAAUUACUGAUAUCCAUUUGUUUUAAUUCCGGGCUUUGUAGCACAGUCUCACAUGACCUACUUAGUUGAAUGCAGAUCAAAGUCAUAUGUACAUCCAAAAAACCUAUGUGGGAAAGUAAGAGGCUUCUUACAUAUGUCCAAUGAGAACGCACUAGAAAUUGGUAAAAUAAAAAGCGGAAAAAGAACAGGAAGAAAAAGACGGAUAAAAUAAUAAGAGAAAGAAAUAGGAGAACUUCCUUUUUUCUUUUACGCUAUCCUCUUCUUUUUUAUUUGUCUCUCUGUCCUUAAUUUUUCCCUCUAAUUUCUCUUCUCUUUCGUCUUUUUCUUCCUCCUCUAUUGUCUCUUCCUUUUCUUCCUCUUAUUCUUGUCCCUUAAUCAUCAUUCCUCUUCUUUUAGCUCGUUAUUUCUAGUACACUCCAAUGUGACGUAUGUGAAGGGUACUGCACUGUAGGCAGUAUAAGUCUUUUUAAGGAAAAAACUCAAUGUACAAACACCCUAUUGCUCAACCGCAUCCAUUUCUCAUUUGGCUCAUUAGGAAUCAACACGCAACAUGUAGAUGCAAAUGUUUUGUGAUAUUACCUAGUGUGCCUUAUCUGUAGGUUCAAUUACUGUUUAUAUAUUCUCUAUUUUCUUAUUUAUUAUGUGUCAUUCCACUGUUGAGUAUUACUUAUGUUACUUCAAAUGAAAAUAGAUACCAGCAAUUUAAUUACCAAAGUGUAUCAUUCCAUUUUUUUUCUGGGUGCCCUCUUUCCACCAUUCAUUAUUUUAGACUAUCAUUAGGCCUUAAAGCUGUGAUGCCUUGAAUAUAUAUUCUUAAAAAUGU
This 4749-nucleotide long non-coding RNA is filed under the name Bemisia tabaci. RNAcentral describes it as "lncRNA ENSASIAIIG008219". The record is from RNAcentral. Lineage: Eukaryota; Metazoa; Arthropoda; Insecta; Hemiptera; Aleyrodidae.